RNAcentral lists this ribosomal RNA (253 nucleotides) under uncultured bacterium. RNAcentral's name for it is "partial 16S ribosomal RNA". It matches the Rfam family "Bacterial small subunit ribosomal RNA", at positions 524 to 776 of the family's 1533-position model. The record is from RNAcentral.
UACGUAGGGGGCGAGUGUUAUCCGGAAUUACUGGGCGUAAAGCGCACGCAGGCGGUUCGCCAAGUUUGGAGUGACAGUUGUCGGCUCAACCGACAAAGGACUUCAAAAACUGGUGAACUUGAGGACGAGAGAGGAACAUGGAACUCCAGGUGUAGUAGUGAAAUGCGUAGAUAUCUGGAAGAACACCAAUGGCGAAGGCAAUGUUCUGGCUCGUUUCUGACGCUCAGGUGCGAAAGCCAGGGGAGCGAACGGG